This is a non-coding RNA of Xyrichtys novacula (pearly razorfish), 3837 nucleotides long. The record is from the annotation of a GenBank genome assembly. Lineage: Eukaryota; Metazoa; Chordata; Actinopteri; Labriformes; Labridae.
CCACUUAGCAUUCUGAAUUUUCCACCUUGGCACCCUCCUUUCCUCCUCUCGCUGCAUUUCUACACCCACCUUACUAAUCACAGGAUAGUGAUCACUCCCCAUUAAUAUUUCAUCUAGCACUUCCCAAUUUGUGAUACCUGCCAUCUCAUUGGACAUUAAAGUUAAGUCAAUUGCACUCUCCUUAUUUCGUACACAAUCAUACCUAGUGCCCCUCCCAUCAUUUAAACACACUAACCCUUUAUCUUCUAUAAAUUCUUCCACUAUUGAACCAUUUGAGUCUGUUCUCUUACUCCCCCAUAAAGUGCUAUGUGCAUUGAAAUCCCCACACCACAAUAUUUUCCCUUGCACCUCCCCCAGUACCUUAUUCAGUGUAUCCAUACUCAAUCUCUUGCAUGGGUUAUAGUAAUUGAUAAUUGCUAGCUCAUAUCUUCCUGUCCAGAUUUUUACUGUUAUGGACUCAUGAUCCGUCCCUAUUUGACCUGUAUUAAACCCUAUCCCAUCCUUUAUAAAGGUAGCUACUCCACCACCUAUCCCAUUUUUCCUGUCAUUUCUUACAGCCAUGUACCCAUGUAUUACAAAAUCCCACUGCUCCCUCAUCCAUGUUUCUUGAAUACAUAUAAUAGUAGGCUUGUCCUGUAACCCAGAUAUAAACUUCUUAAAUUCCUGUCCAUUGGUUAUGAGACUUCUUGCAUUCCAUUGCAGUAUACUUAGGACCAUGAUGAUCCUCCAUCCCAUACUGAUGACUGCUGUGAUGGAUUCUGUGAGCUGGACCCCCCUCCUUUCAACAGGUCCUCCACUUCCUCCCACCCAACUGCCUCCAGUCCCAGAUAUUUCUCUGCUGCUCUCACUAUUAUUUUGAUUUUUUCCGUUUUCUUGUCUGUUUGCGCUGUACAGUUAACCACCUCAACCAUGAAUAGUAUGAAAUCUUUCUUCCCCACAACCAUUGUGUCUUCCUUAAUUCUUUUGCAUCCUUCAUGUGUUCUUAUUUCUUGCCUUUCGGUUGUACUGGCAUUACUUUCAGUUGCCUGCACCCUCACCCUUCUGGCUGCCUCAGCAUAUGUGAUUCCAUUCGAUGUUUUCAUUUGCUGCACUUCUGCUGCUCUCUUACUGACUUCACAUCCCCUGUAUGCAGAGGUAUGUUCCCCUCCACAGUUGCAGCACUUAAUUUUAGCUCCAAUUUCACAUUUCCCAUAUUCAUGUUCCCCAGCACAUUUCCCACAUCUUUGUUUCCCCUUACAUACUGCUGCAACAUGCCCAUAUCUCUGGCAUUUAAAGCACCUUAAUGGCGGAGGCACAUAGAGCCUCACACCGUAGCUCAUGUAUCCUAUAUGCACUCUUUCUGGGAUUCUCUCUUCCUCAAACGUAACCAAAACCGACAGACUGUCACAUUUUUCCCCCUCACGUGUUGUUUUCAGGCGCUUUGCUUCCCUCACUUUCGCUCCCUUUAUAUUUUCUUUUAUUUGAUCAAUAGAUACACUUAUCGGCACCCCAAAGAUUACUCCUCGGGUUAUCCCUCCUCCCUUCCUAGCUAGCGUUGCUACCACCUUCUUCCCCUCAAUUUUAUCCACUCUGAUGGCUCUCCCCAACUGUGCGCUGUCUCGACAAAAAAUCAGCAGUGCUCCAUUGCGCAACACUCUCGCACUUUUCACAUCUCCUACUUGUUUAUUUAUUGCUUUUGUAAGGUUUACAGGAUUCCACUCCCCAAACGAGGCGCCUUCUUGCUCCAAUCUAAUGAUUACUUUGUGUUCUUCCUCGUCCUCUCUUGCUUGCUCGCUAUCCGUUUCCUCAGACGCUGUGCCCACUCCUCUCUGUCCCCUAUUAUUUUUGCGUUUGCGCUUAGCUUUUCCCCCUUUCACAACAUUCCAACUUUCAUUUCUCCCGCCACCUAACUCCAUCCCAUCAUUUCCUGACCCGUCACUUCCCUCUUCCAUCUCCUGUCCAUUCACAGUCCGGCUGUGCCAGCCGCCAACCUUGCUCAUCCGUGUCUUCAUUUCUCGUGAUCCUCUCUCCAGCGUUCCUCCGUCGCUUCAGAGUCACCCGUUCGAAAAAUAGUGACACUUUCAAACAAAGUAUUUACCUUAUGUGAGCUUCUAAAUGUCAAUUACUCGUCGGUUUAUUCCACUUAUACCGAAGAAUGAGACAAAGCUUCAGUCGUCGGCAGUUUCGCGCUUUUGCUGCGUCUGCGCGCGCAGCUCUCUCAUUCCCUGUUCCUUUCUGCAGCCGCCAUCAUGUCCCGCCCCCCUACCUGUCUGAUAGGACAACAGGCUGACAGGAAAACCAAUGCCAUUAAAAAAUAUAUAAAGAUUGACAGCUUAAAUCCCACCAAUCUAGGUUGUGGAAAAGCCCACAGACUCCUCUGUGAACAAACUUGUUCGAAUUUCAAUAAACUUUAUUUACACCUCGACAAGACACUGUAGUCUCUAGGCCCACUUUGUUUUAAAUCAUUGGGAACUGAUAAACUUAAACGUUUUAACAUAACAUAUUGUUGUUUUGUUAACAUAAUUAUCUUGUUCAAUGUUGAAAAUGUCUUUCUCACUUAAAGGAACUUUAUUAAAAUGUAUUUUUCAAACCGUUUAAUGUGUGUUUUCUGCCUGAAAUGACAUAUUUUAGACUCGGCUACAUUCUCUAAGAUAAAAUCUGUGCUACAACAAAUCUCUGGUUCCUGUCUUUUUUGUUUGAUGGCACUAAAACUGCUGUUUCACUCUGCUUUACAUCAGCAUAAACUCAGAGAAUAUGCAGCUUAAUCAUAACAGUUACACAAUCAUUGUACUGUGACUAUCAAAACUAAAUUAGUCACUGAGAGGGGAAUGCAAGAAUCUGUCUGACGCACUGAAUCCAAGAAGGACACACGAAGUCUUUACUGCAGCUCGAGGGUAUUUAUUUUCCAUUUCAGUAAAUCAUACUUUCAAACAUGCAUUUGAUACAGAUGUUCUUGCAGAUUUUGACUAUAUGAUGGAAAAAAGCUUUAGCGGUCAACAGAAAUAUCAGCACCCUGCCUCCUCUCUCUCUCUGAACCAAGCAAACAAAUUCAAAAGUAGGCCCAGGUGACAUUCAUUAGACAAUCAGUCAGCCCCAGUGACACAGCCACAUGCGCAUAACCCAGAGUGACGAGUGAGAAAACACAUCCCUGCCUCUACAUUCAUGUUAAUUCUUCAUAUAAAUAAACACCUCGCUGCCAUGCUCCAAGCAGAACAUUGGUCGUAUUUGUCAUCUUGACUUCUUACAGAUUUAUUGUAUAUGCAGAAAAGAUCCAAAACAUGAUGCAUUGGCAGAACUUGAAAUCAGUGAAGCUGGUAAGAGAGUAAUAUUUAGAAAGAAAAAUUGUAUGUGUAUGCUAUCACAUGUGUAUUCUAUCAUUAUAUACAUAUGUUAAUCAUCAUUUACUGAAAAUCACUUGGUGUGAAUGCUUGAAGGGUUAUAUUUUUCCCAGUACAGACCACAGCUGCAACCUGUACCCUAUUUGGAUACUGUUGUACUGUCAUGCCUCUUGUGAAAUGAUGUUAGCGGGUGGGGGUGUCUGUGUCUUGACUGCAUGAAGGAUGUGUAAAAAUCUGAAUUCCUCAGUCAGAGGAAGCUGCCUUUGUUGUAAGCUGCUGACUCCUUGCAAGUAAAAGAUACUGAAGAAAAAGAAGACCUGACUCUCCAUCGUUCUUCACAGCCGGCUGCAAGUCAGAUUCAGUAUUAUUUUUCUGUCAUAUUUGCUGUGACCUCAACAGGUGAAACUCAGAAUGACAACACUCAGUCUAGAAGCUGCACACUGACAGGUACUUGCAUAAAAACAUCUGAUAAAAAUCAUCAAAUUCACGCACCGUUAUGGGCUCUAUGCACUGAUCCACU